RNAcentral lists this ribosomal RNA (606 nucleotides) under uncultured bacterium. RNAcentral describes it as "bacterial SSU rRNA". It matches the Rfam family "Bacterial small subunit ribosomal RNA", at positions 331 to 929 of the family's 1533-position model. The record is from RNAcentral.
CCAGACUCCUACGGGAGGCAGCAGUAGGGAAUCUUCGGCAAUGGACGAAAGUCUGACCGAGCAACGCCGCGUGAGUGAGGAAGGUUUUCGGAUCGUAAAACUCUGUUGGUAGAGAAGAACGUUGGUGAGAGUGGAAAGCUCAUCAAGUGACGGUAACUACCCAGAAAGGGACGGCUAACUACGUGCCAGCAGCCGCGGUAAUACGUAGGUCCCGAGCGUUGUCCGGAUUUAUUGGGCGUAAAGCGAGCGCAGGUGGUUUAUUAAGUCUGGUGUAAAAGGCAGUGGCUCAACCAUUGUAUGCAUUGGAAACUGGUAGACUUGAGUGCAGGAGAGGAGAGUGGAAUUCCAUGUGUAGCGGUGAAAUGCGUAGAUAUAUGGAGGAACACCGGUGGCGAAAGCGGCUCUCUGGCCUGUAACUGACACUGAGGCUCGAAAGCGUGGGGAGCAAACAGGAUUAGAUACCCUGGUAGUCCACGCCGUAAACGAUGAGUGCUAGAUGUAGGGAACUAUAAGUUCUCUGUAUCGCAGCUAACGCAAUAAGCACUCCGCCUGGGGAGUACGACCGCAAGGUUGAAACUCAAAGGAAUUGACGGGGGCCCGCACAAG